GAUGAAGAACGUAGCGAACUGCGAUAAGUAAUGUGAAUUGCAGAAUUCAGUGAAUCAUCGAGUCUUUGAACGCACAUUGCGCCCCCUGGCAUUCCGGGGGGCAUGCCUGUCCGAGCGUCAUUGCUGCCCAUCAAGCCCGGCUUGUGUGUUGGGUCGUCGUCCCCCCCGGGGGACGGGCCCGAAAGGCAGCGGCGGCACCGUGUCCGGUCCUCGAGCGUAUGGGGCUUUGUCACCCGCUCGAUUAGGGCCGGCCGGGCGCCAGCCGACGUCUCCAACCAUUUUUUUCAGGUUGACCUCGGAUCAGGUAGGGAUACCCGCUGAACUUAAGCAUAUCAAUAAGCGGAGGA
This 347-nucleotide unclassified non-coding RNA is filed under the name soil metagenome. RNAcentral's name for it is "partial contains 5.8S ribosomal RNA, internal transcribed spacer 2, and large subunit ribosomal RNA". The stretch from base 1 to 120 matches the Rfam family "5.8S ribosomal RNA", at positions 35 to 154 of the family's 154-position model. The record is from RNAcentral.